CCAAGGUUUAUCCUUAGUACCUCCCUAGGAACCUGACCAAGGUUUAUCUUUAGUACCUCCCUAGGAACCUGACCAAGGUUUAUCCUUAGUACCUCCCUAGGAACCUGACCAAGGUUUAUCCUUAGUACCUCCCUAGGAACCUGACCAAGGUUUAUCCUUAGUACCUCCCUAGGAACCUGACCAAGGUUUAUCCUUAGUACCUCCCUAGGAACCUGACCAAGGUUUAUCCUUAGUACCUCCCUAGGAACCUGACCAAGGUUUAUCCUUAGUACCUCCCUAGGAACCUGACCAAGGUUUAUCCUUAGUACCUCCCUAGGAACCUGACCAAGGUUUAUCCUUAGUACCUCCCUAGGAACCUGACCAAGGUUUAUCCUUAGUACCUCCCCUAGGAACCUGACCAAGGUUUAUCCUUAGUACCUCCCUAGGAACCUGACCAAGGUUUAUCCUUAGUACCUCCCUAGGAACCUGACCAAGGUUUAUCUUUAGUACCUCCCUAGGAACCUGACCAAGGUUUACAGGGACCUCCGAAUACCAGAUAGAAACAUAUUCCAAUGGAGAUACUGGGAACCCCUGUGAUGACGAUCAGACAUAGGUUUACUGGGGGUAAAGACACAAACGUUCUAACAUGUGAGCUGUA
This is a long non-coding RNA of Oncorhynchus keta (chum salmon), 637 nucleotides long. RefSeq lists it as uncharacterized. The record is from RefSeq and is a predicted model, not a curated record. Lineage: Eukaryota; Metazoa; Chordata; Actinopteri; Salmoniformes; Salmonidae. The transcript has 3 exons.